This 433-nucleotide ribosomal RNA is filed under the name uncultured bacterium. Its description in RNAcentral is "partial 16S ribosomal RNA". It matches the Rfam family "Bacterial small subunit ribosomal RNA", at positions 29 to 507 of the family's 1533-position model. The record is from RNAcentral.
AACGAACGCUGGCGGCAUGCCUAACACAUGCAAGUCGAACGAGACCUUCGGGUAUACUGGCGAACGGGUGCGUCACGUGUUGGACUCUGCCCUUAGGUUCGGAAUAACUCUCCGACUUUGGUGCUAAUAUCGUAUAAUGUCUUCUGACCAAAGAUUUAUCGCCUUUGGUUGGGCCCGCGUGGGAUUAGCUCGUUGGUAGUGUAAAAGCCUACCACGGCUACGAUCCAUAGCUGGUCUGAGAGGAUGAUCAGCCACACUGAGGCUGAGACACGGUCCAGACUCAGGCGGGAGGCAGAAGUGGGGAAGAAUGGAAAAUGGGCGGGAGACUGAUGGAGUGACGGCGCGAAAAGGAUGAUGGUGUGAGGGUUGUAAAGCUCCUUUACCCGGGAUGAUAAUGACAGUACCAGGAGAAUAAGCUCCGGCUAACUCCGUG